GACGAACGCUGGCGGCGUGCUUAACACAUGCAAGUCGAACGGAAAGGCCCUGCUUUUGUGGGGUGCUCGAGUGGCGAACGGGUGAGUAACACGUGAGUAACCUGCCCUUGUCUUUGGGAUAACUUCAGGAAACUGGGGCUAAUACCGGAUAGGAGCUCCUGCUGCAUGGUGGGGGUUGGAAAGUUUCGGCGGUUGGGGAUGGACUCGCGGCUUAUCAGCUUGUUGGUGGGGUAGGGGCUUACCAAGGCUUUGACGGGUAGCCGGCCUGAGGGGGUGACCGGCCACAUUGGGACUGAGAUACGGCCCAGACUCCUACGGGAGGCAGCAGUGGGGAAUAUUGCACAAUGGGCGGAAGCCUGAUGCAGCAACGCCGCGUGCGGGAUGACGGCCUUCGGGUUGUAAACCGCUUUCGCCUGUGACGAAGCGUGAGUGACGGUAAUGGGUAAAGAAGCACCGGCUAACUACGUG
This 468-nucleotide ribosomal RNA is filed under the name uncultured bacterium. RNAcentral's name for it is "partial 16S ribosomal RNA". It matches the Rfam family "Bacterial small subunit ribosomal RNA", at positions 28 to 507 of the family's 1533-position model. The record is from RNAcentral.